This 253-nucleotide ribosomal RNA is filed under the name uncultured bacterium. RNAcentral's name for it is "partial 16S ribosomal RNA". It matches the Rfam family "Bacterial small subunit ribosomal RNA", at positions 524 to 776 of the family's 1533-position model. The record is from RNAcentral.
UACGUAGGUGGCAAGCAUUGUCCGGAAUUAUUGGGCGUAAAGCGCGCGCAGGCGGUCCUUUAAGUCUGAUGUGAAAGCCCACGGCUCAACCGUGGAGGGUCAUUGGAAACUGGGGGACUUGAGUACAGAAGAGAAGAGUGGAAUUCCACGUGUAGCUGUGAAAUGCGUAGAGAUGUGGAGGAACACCAGUGGCGAAGGCGACUCUUUGGUCUGUAACUGACGCUGAGGCGCGAAAGCGUGGGGAGCAAACAGG